RNAcentral lists this transfer-messenger RNA (377 nucleotides) under Gammaproteobacteria (g-proteobacteria). RNAcentral's name for it is "GCA-013348725 sp013348725 Standard tmRNA". It matches the Rfam family "transfer-messenger RNA". From Rfam's summary of the family: Bacterial tmRNA, also known as 10Sa RNA or SsrA, is named for its dual tRNA and mRNA-like properties. Its role is to liberate the mRNA from a stalled ribosome. Lineage: Bacteria; Pseudomonadati; Pseudomonadota. The record is from RNAcentral. RNAcentral also lists the same sequence under 1 other name.
GGGGGCGACAUGGUUUCGACGUGGGUAUGAAACUUUAGGUGCAUGCCGAGGUGCAGAUCACCUCGUAAAACAAUCUGCAACCAACAUAGUUGCCAACGACGACAACUACGCUCUAGCGGCUUAAGCCCCGCUAGCCCUUGACCGAGGCCGUGCUUGUGCGCUCGGGGUCUGUGUAAGCAGGCCGCUCAAGGGUCGACUCUCACAAGAUCGCGACCGAGGCUCGCCUGGGGCCAAAGCGCUAAAACCCAACCGGGAUCGCCGUCUGCACGCCCUGCCGGUCGGGCAGCAGCCGGUUAAACACAAUAGAUCCGGCUAAGCAUGUAGAUCCGACAGCGUAGGACUCACGGACGCGGGUUCGAUUCCCGCCGCCUCCACCA